ACAGCCGUUUGUUCUAUCGCUGCGGUAAAAUUAUCGUGGAGGAAAGUCCGGACAACACAGAGCACCAUACUUCCUAACGGGAAGGUCUCCCGAGGUUUCGGGAAAACAGAAAGUGCCGCAGAAAAUAACCGCCCUUGAUUUUAUCAGGGGUAAGGGUGAAAAUGUGAGGCAAGAGCUCACGUCGCGGUAUGGUGACAUACCGGGAGGGUAAACCUUAUGGGUUGCAAAGCCAAAUAUAUUUCGAUUUUCAUUCCGGGAAACCAGGAUGAAUAGAGGCUGCUCGCCUUGAUCCUGUAAUUAUUACAGGAAUCGGAAGGGGUAGGCUGCUAGAUCGCUGUAGUGAUGCAGCGGCCAGAUAAAUGAUAGAAAUCCGUCUCUGACGGAUACAGGAUCCGGCUUAUAGAACGGCUGUCUCU
Molecule: RNase P RNA, 416 nt
Filed under: Bacteroidales bacterium
Lineage: Bacteria; Pseudomonadati; Bacteroidota; Bacteroidia; Bacteroidales
Description: RNase P RNA component class A
Rfam family: Bacterial RNase P class A
About the family: Ribonuclease P (RNase P) is a ubiquitous endoribonuclease, found in archaea, bacteria and eukarya as well as chloroplasts and mitochondria.
Source: RNAcentral